CUCUCAGGAGAGCGGCUCCGUGAGGAGGCAGCAGCUCCCCUGGGUGCUCGUGACUGUGCCUCUGUGAGAGGACGCGGAGAUGAGCAAGAAGCAAGAGAAGAAGGACAACUCCCAGCCCGACACAGGGCUGCCACGCGUGCGGGAUCGCCGCCAGGUGCGGGCCGGGACCGGAAGGCCGGCCUUCCAAGUAGACUACACAGGGGACGCUGGUGGCAACUUCGCCACCUCCAUCCCACGCCUCCUUCUCCCCGCAGUUGGGCCGCAUGGGGCCACGAGUGGUGCCGCCGGGCAGCCGGAGCCCGGGCUCGGCCCUCAAUGGCGCCCGUCUGCCGCCACUGCCCGGCCCGGAGAGCUCGCGGGCCUCUGGGAGCCGCCGCGCACAGGCGGACCAAAGACAGGCGCUGCCAUCCUUGCUGCCUCGCCCAAGGCAGGCAACGAUGCCGGCAGCUGCACCCCGGCGUGCAGCACCAUCUUCUAACGUUCCCAAGCUGCCUGCUCUGCAAGCAGCAGCCUCCUCCGCAUCUUCUGCAAGUGGAAGAGCAGGUGCCAUGGGCAUUAGAGAGAGCAGGCUCCCAGAGCUUGCCCCAAGGCCUCAGGGAACCUUGCGUGUCCAGGACAGGGCAGCAAGAGCUGAGAGCCGGGGUCCAGUUCUGGAAGUCUCCUCAACCGUUCUUGUGCCUCCGCAUGCCAGACCCAAGCAGAGCUACGUGGUGUCCCUGGGCUGUGCUGCAGCCGGAAGCCCGAGAAUCGGAGUGCAGCUGACAGUACCGGGGCACCACGCAUCCACCAGCAGGCUGAGAACACCAGCAAGAUCAGCCCAGGUGCUGGCCACCAAGGCUGGUGAGAUCCCUGCAGCUUGGACAGGUGCUCAGGAGGGCACCAGAGACACUCGUUCGGCUGCUACACCAUGUUUUGUAUCGGCUCAGAAGGGCGCAGAAGAACAGGCAGGAGGCAAAGAGCGGGACAAGGAGCCCCUGUCCACAUCAGUGCCUGAGGAUGCAGGCAGCUCAGCUUCACCCAGGGCUGCACACUCUCCAGGGGAGGACAAUAAUACAAUGCUCUUCCCGAGAGCGUGUGAGGGAGGAGAAAGAGGAGGAGCUGGUACCACCAUGCCUGAAUUCUCCACACAAGCUCUGGGAGUAGUGCCGAGAUUGCAAGGUCCCAGACAGAUCAACCCGGAGGCCAGUGGAUAUUCUCCAGUUCACCCAGCUAUCCGGAGAAUUUGUGAUGAGGAGGGAAAGGAGCAAAUGUCCAGCUGGAACAUCUCCUGGCCCGACAAUGUGAGCACGCUCAGGCUGCUGAGACCGGAAGCAGCUGAUGACAGUGCCAGUGCUGCUGGCACUGCUCAGGGAAUGCUGGGCCUUCAAACCAUGACCUCGAAGGUGGAGGGCCAGAUUCCUGUCUCGGGUGAUUCCCAAAUGAGGGAUGUUGGAGUGCAGGUUGAGCUGCAAGAAUUAGAAGAGACCGCUGAGAGAGAAUCUACAGGUGACCUGUCGAGCACAUCCCUUUCCUCUUCUGAUGAGGCAGACGCCAUGCGUUCAGCGUCUCUUCUGGCCACAGAACCUGGGCCUGGAGGACGCCUUGAGCCUUUGCCCACAUCAGUGCCUAGAGGUACGGAAAACACAGAUUCUUUCGAGACUGCACAUUGUCCAGAGGAGGCCAAUACAGCACCACUCCUCCUGUCAGCGUGCGAGGGAGGAGAAAGAGAAGUAACUGCUAUGACCAUGCCUGAAUUGUCCACACAAGCUCUGGGAGAAGCACCACGAUUGCAAGAUCCUAGAGAGACCUAUGGGGAGGCCCAUGAAUAUUCUCCAAUUUUCCCAGCAAUUAACAGAAUUCAGGAUGAGGCAAGGAAGGAGCAGAUGUUGUCUAGCUGGAACAUCUCCUGGCCAAACAACGUGAGCACACCCAGGCUGCUGAGACCCCAGGCAGCUGAUGACAGUGCUAGUGCUGCUGAUGCUGCUCCGGGCAUGUUUGACAUCUGCACCACAUCAAGGAUAGAGGGUCAGCUUCCUCCUUCUAGUGAUUCCCAAACGCGGCAUGAUGGAGUACAAGAUAUCCAGCAUGAUUUGCAACAGAGCAGUGAGACAGAAACCGCAGGACCGUCAUCCGCUGACCCGUGGAGAGCAUGCCUUGCCCCAUCUGAUGAGGCAGAAGCAGUGCCUAGCACUUCUCAUCAGGAUGUGGGUCACUGGCCCGCAGGACAACUUGAGCCUUUGCGUGCAUCAGUUCCUGAAGAUGCAGAAAAUUCAGGCUCUUCCAAGGCAGUGCCCUCUCCGGUGCUGGCCAUUGAAGCACCCUUCUUCCUAUCUCUGUGCUUAAGAGGAAAAAUAGAAGGAAGAGUUUUGGCCAUGCCUGAGUACUCCAGAACAGCUCUGGGGCACUCACCAAGACGGCGAGAUCCCAAAGAAAUCUAUGGGGAAGCCUACAGAUAUCCUACAACUCACCCAGCAAUCCAGAGAAUUCGCGAUGAGGCGAGGAAGGAGCGGAUGAUGUCCAGCUGGAAGGCGUCCUGGCCAAACAGCGUGAGCAUGCCCAGGCUUCCCGUGCCCCGAGCAGCAGGUGACGGUGCCAGUGCUGCCGCCAGUGCUCGGGGCAUGCUGGACGUCCGCUCCACGACAUCGAGGGUGGAGGACCGCUUUCCUGCAUCUCGUGAUUCCCAAAACCGUGAAGAGGAAGAGACCUCCGACAGCACUGCCAGCGAUACCAGCAGUGAUGACAGCAUGCUGGAUGACAGAGACAGCGCCAUGAUGGCUGAGAGCCUGCACGUGCCCUCCUGUUUUUGCUAUGGUAUUGUGGAGGGUGUGGAAGAAGAAAGGGAAAGCAACUGUAGGGAAGAUGCUGCAGAGGCAGCCAGAGUGGCACCAAGCAUUUCUGGUUCCUCGUCUGGUGAGGUGAAGACCAGGCCUUCAGCUUCCCCUGUGGCUGCAGAUCCCAGACCUGUGAGGCAGUCGUCCACAUGCGAGGGAGCAGAAGCUGCAGCCUGUCAGCAGGAGGAUUCUGCAGAGGCCAGAGAAGAUGCGCAGAGCUCCA
Molecule: long non-coding RNA, 3033 nt
Organism: Numida meleagris (helmeted guineafowl)
Lineage: Eukaryota; Metazoa; Chordata; Aves; Galliformes; Numididae
Source: Ensembl